GGCAUGUGGGAUCUUCCCGGACCGGGGCACGAACCCACGUCCCCUGCAUCAGCAGGUGGACCCCCAACCACUGUGCCACCAGGGAAGCCCCUAAAGACCCCUUUGACUGCUUUGCAUAAGAGUGAAUUGGAAGAGGGCAAGCAUGGGAACAGUGAAGCAGGAGGCUUUGCACUGGUGCAGGUGAGAGAGGGGGAUGGCCUGGGCAGGUAAUGGGAAUAAAAUAGAAGUGGACAGAUACGGGAUACAUUUUAGAAUUAAUGGGAGUCAGGUGGAUUCAAGGUACAGGCUGAGAAAAAGGGACUCAAGGAAAAUUCCUAGGUUUUCUGCCUUGAGCAGUUGGGUGACUUGCUGAAAUGAGGACGGUGGGGAGGAAAAUCAGGAGUCCAGGUAAACACACGUCUUGGGUGCCUGUGAGUCACUCAGAUGGAGACGUUCCAAAGGCUGUUGUGAAACAGCCUGAAGCUCAGGGUAGAGGUGGGAACCUUGGAGAUGUAAAUUUAGGAAUCAUUAGCAUAAAAUGCUAUUGAAAGUAUUGGGAUUGGGUAAGACCCCUAGAAAGAGAUGAAAAGAUAGAACAAGACUGAAGCCGCUUAAGGAGUUUGCCACGUCCAGAUGGAAACGGGGAGCCACGGACAGAGUUGAAUCGGGAGGUUAACACAGUCACGUUUGUGUUUUAGGAAGAUUUCUGACUUCCGGAGUCACUUAGAGGCAGGCAUGACUCGAAAGAGGAGACCAGAGAAGAGGCUGCUGUGAUACAUGUUUUGGGAGAUGAGAGUAACUUUAUCCAGGAAAGUGUUAAAAGGGAUGGAGAUAACUAACUAAACGGAUCAAGAGAUAAUUUUGAAUAGUGUGGACAAAACUUGAAGACUGAUUAGGGGUAUGAAAUGAGGAUAAGAUUAAGGUCAAGGGUUAUGCCUCUAAAUUUCUAGUUCAAAACCGGGCAGAUCAUGGUACCCUUUCACCAUCAUGAAAAAGUUUGGGGAACGGUAAAGACAGAUUGCUAAUUUUGACAUGCCUAGACAUUUCAGGCUAGGUGGUGAGUAAACAUUUGUACAUUCAUGUGUGGACUGCAGGAGAGAGAGCUGAAUCAUCACCCGUAAGCUGUCUCAAAGCUGUCGACGCAGCCAAGAUUAGCCAGGGAGAACAAGUUGAGUGAGAAAAAGGCCUAGGAUGAAAACCUAGGGAAUUUCCAAUAUGUCAGAGUCAAUAGAGGGAGAGGGAUUUGCAGAAGAGGCUGAAAAAGAGCAGCCGGCGAAGUAGGAGGAAAGCAAGGUAAAAGGGACGUCGUGUCCCCGGUUCCAGACAUUGGUCAUUCGACACGUCGUUUAUUCCUUGUCACAGUCCGGCAAGCAGGUAUGUCUCAUCUCCAUGUUAACAGAAGGCCGCACUGAGACUCAGAAAGGUGAAAUGGCCUCGCCAAAGACUCUUAUCCAGAAAACAGAGCACGUGUGAAGGAAUUUAAGAAACCCUGGGCUAUCUGGUUUCCACCCUUUGGCCUUUAGUAAAAGGAAUGACGUGUGUGCGUGUGUGCGUGUGUGUGUGUGUGUGUGUUUACAUGUUUUUAUAUACAUAAGACCAUCUCUGCAGGAUACGGAGAAGCUGGUAAGAGUGGAGAGCGUUUGCCUUUGUGGGGGAAUGGAGGUUGCUGACUGGCCAGAUGGAGACUUCUGGGCUCUGUACUAGUGUAACAGAGAGUGGGUAAUGAAGAGUUUGACUUUGUUUUUAAUGCCUGACUGCCGACAGCUUCCAGGUCCCAUCACUGUCCCCCUUCUGUCUCACAUCUGGGCGGCUGAUACAGGACACCAGGUGCCCUUUCCCUUGGCUGCCACGGGAAGGUCCAACCAGGUAAGCCCCGGCCCUUGCCAAGCAGAACCCUCGGCCCGGCUCGGCCAUGGAAACGCCAAGCAGAUCCCCUUUCUCUGCUCUCUCAAGCCGUUUCUGGACGUGCUUCCAUCCUGCCCUCCUCAGAGGCUGCAUCGUAUGAUGUGUCUCAUGUCUUGUUAAAUUGCAAAAGACAAGAAACAGUGGGACAGAAUCUGCCCCAGUUGCGUACACAUGGGUGUUCCGAGAAGGCCUGACGCCGAAGGGGACACCUGCACUCCAUUUGUCCCCAUCGUUGGGCCGGAUCCACCAGUGUCACAUUGGAGGAGCACAAAAAUCAACAAACAGUUGUUUUCAGAGUAGAAAAAUCUUGCGGAGAAUGAAGACGCUGACACUGGGUUUUACACGAUAUUCCCACUGGCGGGAAGAAUCACAUUUUCCCAGAAGUCCCUGAGUCUGGAGCCUGGUGAGCCCUCCUGCCUUUGCUCCCCUGGAAACACCUGCAGUAGGAACCCAAGGAUUCCCGGCUCACCCGUGCGCGCCAAGGACGGAAGAUGUAGCCACGACAGACUUCCAGUAUAAGGACAUUUCCUAAAGGGUCAGUGUAACAGGCAGGAUGGAGAGACUUGCAUCUAAGAGCAUAAACAUCUCAGAGUGCGUGGAAGCUGAUGGAUGUUAAUCCAUGCAACUCCUAGAGGAAGCUGAAGAAGGCAAGGAGAUGGAUCCUCCUCCAGCGCCUGGGGAGCGGCGUGGAGGACUCAGCCCAGCCAGACAUCCGCAGCCGAGUGACACCCACCGCAGACUUCUGCCCUAGAGAACUGGCGCUCCUCUGGCUGUUUUGGGCCCUCCCGGCCCCCGUCUUCCGGGCGGUCACGUGCCUCGGCUCACGUGACCUGCGCUUCUGUUGUUCCACUGCGGCUUCCUCCUGCCAGUGAGGCCCUUCACGUCCGCUCGGUGCCGAAUCGGGCUCGCUUUCUGGCGCUGCGUCCCCGCCGCCGCUCAGGCCUGCGGACUCGGCAGGAGACCCGACUCGGCGCCCCAGCACGCCAGCGGUCCCGACUCCGGACCGCCGCAACUUCCCGCCGCCUCGGGGUCCGCAGAAAAACAUUCAAGAUCAUAAAUUUAGACCAAGAUGGACAUCCGGGGUGCCGUGGAUGCAGCCGUUCCAACCAACAUCAUUGCUGCCAAGGCUGCAGAAGUUCGUGCCAACAAAGUGAACUGGCAGUCCUACCUUCAGGGGCAGAUGAUUUCUUCCGAAGACUGCGAAUUCAUUAAAAGAUUUGAAAAGAAAAGAAGUCCUGAGGAGAAGCAGGAGAUGCUUCAGACUGAAGGCAGUCAGUGUGCUAAGACAUUUAUAAAUCUGAUGACUCACAUCUCCAAAGAGCAGACGGUUCAGUACAUACUCACCAUGGUUGAUGACACGCUGCAGGAAAAUCACCAGCGCGUUAGCAUUUUCUUUGACUAUGCUAAACGUAGCAAGAACACUGCCUGGUCCUACUUUCUGCCCAUGUUGAAUCGCCAGGAUCUCUUUACUGUUCAUAUGGCAGCAAGAAUUAUUGCCAAGUUAGCAGCUUGGGGAAAAGAAUUGAUGGAAGGCAGUGACUUAAAUUACUAUUUCAAUUGGAUAAAGACUCAGCUGAGUUCACAGAAACUGCGUGGUAGCGGUGUCGCUGUUGAAACAGGAACAGUCUCUUCAAGCGAUAGCUCUCAGUACGUGCAGUGUGUGGCCGGGUGUCUGCAGCUGAUGCUCCGAGUCAACGAGUACCGCUUUGCCUGGGUGGAAGCAGACGGGGUGAACUGCAUCAUGGGAGUUCUGAGUAACAAGUGUGGCUUUCAGCUCCAGUAUCAGAUGAUUUUUUCUAUAUGGCUCCUGGCGUUCAGUCCUCAGAUGUGUGAACACCUGCGACGCUACAACAUCAUUCCUGUUCUGUCCGACAUCCUGCAAGAAUCGGUCAAAGAGAAAGUGACAAGAAUCAUUCUUGCAGCAUUCCGGAACUUCUUAGAAAAAUCAACUGAAAGAGAAACUCGCCAAGAGUAUGCUCUGGCUAUGAUUCAGUGCAAAGUUCUGAAACAGUUGGAGAACUUGGAACAGCAGAAGUAUGAUGACGAAGAUAUCAGUGAAGAUAUAAAAUUUCUCUUGGAGAAACUUGGUGAGAGUGUCCAGGAUCUUAGCUCAUUUGAUGAAUAUAGUUCAGAACUUAAAUCUGGAAGAUUGGAAUGGAGUCCUGUGCACAAAUCUGAGAAAUUUUGGAGAGAAAAUGCUGUGAGGUUAAAUGAGAAGAAUUAUGAGCUCUUGAAGAUUUUGACCAAACUUCUGGAGGUGUCCGAUGACCCACAAGUCUUAGCUGUUGCUGCCCAUGACGUCGGCGAGUACGUUCGGCAUUACCCGCGAGGCAAGCGGGUCAUCGAGCAGCUCGGCGGGAAGCAGCUGGUGAUGAACCACAUGCACCACGAGGACCAGCAGGUGCGCUACAACGCCCUCCUGGCCGUGCAGAAGCUCAUGGUGCACAACUGACCACCAGGACCCCAGACUCCCUGAUUACAGGCCUGUCAGUGGGAACCCGAAAUCUCUCACCUCAUAGCCAUCCCUCCAGAGAUGCAGUCCACCACCACAGAGAGGCCCAAACUGGAACCCUGCCUGGGUGUCCUUCAACAGGGGAUUGGAUAAGUGCACUGUGGUACAGCCACCCCGCGGAAUACUACCCCCACGAGGAAAAGGAGCAAAGUACCGAUGCACUCAGCAACCUGGAGGAACCUCCAGGGAAUUACGCCUGCUGGCAAAUACAGAGAACGUGGGAGAAGACCAUGCCGUGAUCAUGCUAGUUUUAGAGAUGGUGAGUAUUCUCAGCAAGUUCUGGAACAGUAACGAUGCCAGGUGAGUGCACGUUAAAUCCAGAAAUUGGCAAGCAGGCACACGGCCGUCUCACCGGACUUCUUGUCACAGCAAGUGUCACUUCUUGUCUCUGAACCCAACCGUUGCUACUGACAGUGGAGAGAAUCAAGUGUCAAAUAGCCUGGCGUGGCGGCCUGGGGCAGGACCGGUUCCACAGGGUCUGGGGUGUAGAAUAGGAAACAGGCCUCCUUGGAGAAAGGUAUGAGCCUCAAGUGUCUUCUCACAUAGAUUCCCUGGUUGUAUGUUGUGUUUUAAUUUUAUUUUCCAAAUUGAUUGCAAGUUCUUUCUAUCCCCCCAAAUUUCAUUCCCUCCAAAUACCUAUAGCAAAUGCACCAGAUGCCACUGGUUCAUUUAUUUGAUUAAUAAAUACGUGUUGAAUGCUCUCUGCGUUGCGUAAGCAAAAUAAACCUUUUGCCCAGUGGAUCCCCGGGCUUGACACCAGGCGAGGAAACUGCUGGAUGGUCAGGGAGCUUUGGGACCAUGGACAGAUUCCCUGACAUCUAAGGCUGCUUUGGGUGCUGAGCCUGCGUGGAUGUACGUUCCGUGUCUUUAUCUGGAACUCUAGAAUUAAUGGCUCAGACCAAUUUUAAACCCCUCAGGAGCAUCUGGGGCAUCUUCCUGAUGGCUGACUCUUCCGGGAACGGGGUAAGAUAAAAUCACAGCAGCCCAGGACAAACUGUUCCCACUUCUUCUCAGUGGUGCUCAGAGCCCCCUCCUUCCUGGCUGUCCCCCCGACAGGCCCACCAAGCCUCAGCUAACCCGCCUUGAGCAUCUUCUAUGUCCCAGACUCUGUUCCAACCACCUUCCACGUAUCACAGUAUUUAACGGACAGCGACCCAGUGAGACAGGAGUGUUAGGAUUCCCGUUUCACGGAGGGGGCCGCUGAGGCACACAGCUACAUAACCUCCCCAAUGUCUGUAGCUGGUGCGUGACAGAGUGCGGACGCCUGGGUCCCUGGUGCCGUCUGAGCCCGAGCAGGGUCACUGCGAUUGUCUCGUCUUCGCGGUCAGUGGCCCGAGGGGCUUCUUGCUUGGACAUCGGGACUCUCUCCUGUUGCUUCCCCGGCUGACCGAGGCUCCCGUCGUGGCCCAGCUGGUGUGGGUGGGUCCUGGGCUGUGGACUGGCUCUGUGUUGCUGGGGGCCAGCAGGAGCCUGAGAUUCCUCGUGCCUCACUGUCCGGGACACUUGGGGGCUCCCAGGCCUUGAGGGGUUCAGUCUCGGGGGCCUUGUCUUUUACUGUGAAUGUUUCCAGAGCUGCAGCUGGGGGUUUGGGGGUUCAGGGUGGAGCUCCCCUCCCAGCUCCUUGGAGGGGGCCUGAGGUUCUCUCUGUGACACUAGGAUUCUCCCUCAAGAGCAAAUCGGUGAUGUGUGCAUGUCACUGGUGCCGAGUCCCUUGGGGAUGUACACCAGUGAGUGUCCACCACAUGCUAGAAACUUCUGGCACCCCCUCUGCCCCAUCCUUAAGCCCCCUCUUGUGUGGGUGAUGCCCAGGGCUGGCAUCUCCUGAUCUCCGGAGGGUUAGGAGUCUAGAGUCUGCUCGACUGGGCCCCUUUCUUUGAAUUCAUACAAACGCAUUUUACUAAUUCUUGAGAAAAAGCAAUUCCAAUUAUUUGGAAAGACACAGCAUUUCUGAAGAAAGGGCAAACUUGUUUAUUUCUUCCAGCCUGGAAGUGGGUAUUAUGCUUGUUUUUUCCAAGUCCUAACUGCCCGGAGGGAGUUAACCUUCAGCAGGUCACAAACAGUCUUAUUUUUAAAUGGUGAAAUGGAUUGAAAAGGUUUGCAGAGGUUACUCAGUUUACCUGGUCUCGGGAGCGGAAGCAAACCCGGGACCGUCUCGUCUCCCUCAGCCCCCUCAGUUCACAGGUGCCGGGGAGCUCAGUGGAGAAUCGGGGUCCUAAAGUUUGUGUGGGGUCUUUGCAGCAUUUUCUAGAACUCCCCGCCGUCUCAUGAGGGUCCUUCAGCAGGAACCUGAAGAAGGCGAGCCAGUGCUCAGGGGAAGCCCCAGGGCACAGCCGGCUCAGUAAACGUGUACGAAAGGAAUGACUCCUAGACGAAGUAGUGACGUGUCUGAAGGCAUUUUACAUAAGAGAAGACUUUCCUGCGAAGAUGCUGAACCACUGUCUACCAGAUAAGGUGUCGGGACUGAAGGUCACCACACGCCACAAGACAGGACAGCUGCUGCUCCCAGGGAGAAGUUUCUGGAGCCCAAAGCUGGAUUUCUACAUGGAAUCAGGACCCCCUGGGGGCUCCCCUCUGCUGCCCGAAGUUCUCUCUGACCUUGACCCUCUGCCAGGCUCUGAGCAGGAGGUGUGGAAAGACGGAGAAACCCAGACCAAAUAUGAUUCUGAUUCCACCAGGAGCAGGUCACUUAAACUGAGCUUCAGUUUCCUGGCUUGUGAAACGGAG
RNA transcript from Orcinus orca (killer whale), 7120 nucleotides. It is a transcript of the gene named ATPase H+ transporting V1 subunit H, with no coding region annotated. Lineage: Eukaryota; Metazoa; Chordata; Mammalia; Artiodactyla; Delphinidae. The record is from RefSeq and is a predicted model, not a curated record. The transcript has 21 exons.